This 253-nucleotide ribosomal RNA is filed under the name uncultured bacterium. RNAcentral's name for it is "partial 16S ribosomal RNA". It matches the Rfam family "Bacterial small subunit ribosomal RNA", at positions 524 to 776 of the family's 1533-position model. The record is from RNAcentral.
UACGGAGGGCGCAAGCGUUGUUAGGAAUCACUGGGCGUAAAGCGCGUACAGGCGUCUUGGUAAGUCGGGUGUGAAAUCCCGGAGCUCAACUCCGGAACUGCACCCGAUACUGACUAGCUAGAGUCCCGGAGAGGAUGGCGGAAUUUCCGGUGUAGAGGUGAAAUUCGUAGAUAUCGGAAGGAACACCAGCGGCGAAGGCGGCCAUCUGGACGGUGACUGACGCUCAGACGAGAAAGCGUGGGGAGCAAACAGG